GAGUUUGAUUCUGGCUCAGGAUGAACGCUGGCGGCAUGCCUAACACAUGCAAGUUGAACGAGAAGUUUUGGAGGGAGUCUUCGGACGAACGAAGGAAUGGAAAGUAGCGAACGGGUGAGUAACGCGUGGGCAACCAACCUUACACAGGGGGAUAACACAGAGAAAUCUGUGCUAAUACCGCAUAAGCGCACAGUACUGCAUAGUACAGUGUGAAAAACUCCGGUGGUGUAAGACGGGCCCGCGUCUGAUUAGCUAGUUGGUAGGGUAAAAGCCUACCAAGGCAACGAUCAGUAGCCGACCUGAGAGGGUGAUCGGCCACAUUGGGACUGAGACACGGCCCAAACUCCUACGGGAGGCAGCAGUGGGGGAUAUUGCACAAUGGAGGAAACUCUGAUGCAGCAAUGCCGCGUGAAGGAAGAAGGUCUUCGGAUUGUAAACUUCUAUCAGCAGGGAAGAAAAUGACGG
This 465-nucleotide ribosomal RNA is filed under the name Lachnospiraceae bacterium canine oral taxon 106. RNAcentral's name for it is "bacterial SSU rRNA". It matches the Rfam family "Bacterial small subunit ribosomal RNA", at positions 9 to 457 of the family's 1533-position model. The record is from RNAcentral. Lineage: Bacteria; Bacillati; Bacillota; Clostridia; Lachnospirales; Lachnospiraceae.